UACAGCCCAGCCCAUUCACCCAAUUGGUUGUCAGGAAGGUAACAGGAGAAAUUUGUAAUCAGCUCCCCUCAUUCUCUUAUGAUUUUUUUGCUUGCUGUUUCCUUUCCCUCUCUUUUCAUUCUGAGAUAGGAUGAAGCCCAAACCUCUGUGCUUUCAAGCAGCCCUGUGGACGAUUCUGAUGUGCUGCCAGGCAUGAGUACUCCUGACGAUAUGAUCUUUGAGGACAGGCAUUUGUUCUUAUUCAUCAUUGUAUCCUAAUAAGUAACAUAUGGGCAUGCAAUUAAAAAACGAAGUCACAUGGAAGAUAAAUAACAUGCUCAACAUCACCCAGCCAGAAGUGGUGGAGACAUGGCCAACAUCACAGGGGACAACUCCUGAGCCUGUGCUAGGAACAGCCAGUCUUCCUGAAUUCAUGAUAAAGCAUGAAAACAGAGGCUCACAGAGAUCAUAUUAUUUUCCCCAAGUUGCAAUGAUGGUAAACACAGAUGACAGCUGGACAUCAACUAGGUCUGGGUGGCUUCCAACUCCAGUGACUCAAUGCUGCUCCACACGGCCUUCUUACAAGGAAAAAUGAGAACAGGCCGCGGGCCGGCUUCUGUAAAUCGCGUGUUGUUGGAAUUCCUGUCCUUCCUUGACCCAGAUUUGUAAACAGAGGCUGUGGAAGCCAAGGUACACAUGGGCAGAUGCAAACGAGCCGUCUGCUGAGGAGAAAGUCGAAUGUGCUCGGGGUGGGUGCGCGUCUGCCUGAAGCACGUGUCCCUGAGGCCUCCUGCUGUCUCCCCAGCCGGCUGACGGGCCCGGUGGUCUGCAGAUGGCCACGAAGUGUCUCCGGGCUGUCCAGCUGCAGCCUGGGCGGGCUGGCGGUUUUUUUUUUUUGUGGGGGGAGUGAUUCUGAGGGUGCUGGGUGGCCGCUGACAGAGCUUCCUUCUGCUACUUUUAGGCUUGUUGCUGAGCCUUUUUAAAGGGAAGGGGUGGAAAUAAGCAAAGAUAUUUGCUGUGACCUGGAACUGAAAUGCCUCACUUUAAAAACAGCUAUCAUUUACUCACUCAUCCAAGAAAUACAGGUUGAGCCCCUUCAGAACAACAGGUCCUGUCCUCAGUGCAGCGGAUGCAGCAGGGAUGCAUACAGAGUACCUGUCCUCAGGGAACUUGCAGUUUAUUGGAUGGAGACAGACAACCCAUAAUGAUUUGUAUAAAUGUCUAAUAUAUGCUAUAGAAAGAGAAGCAGCAAAGUAAAGGGGUGAAGGAUGAAAAGGCCAGGGGAUAUUUUUCUGAUGAAGUGACAUUUGAGCAGAUACCCAAACAAAGCAAAGCAGUGGGCCCAGCAGAUAUCUGAGGCCAGGAUGGUCUCUGGCAAAGGGAACAGCGAAUUCAUAAGCCCUGAGCAAGGCGAGCCUUCAAGGGUGUAGGCCUUCUUCAGAUGUUUAAAGAGCACCGUGCUUGGGGAGGGUCUGGAAGCCGCAGCCUGGGAACAAGUGAGAGAACUGAGGUGUUUAGGGCAGAAAAGGGAAGUCUUGUGAGUAGCAGGCAGCUUUCCUCAUGUAAAGGGUUCAAAUGUGGAAGAAGGAUAAGACUUUUUAUUACAUAAUGCCAGAAGUUGUAACCAAAGACCAGACCAGCUGAUGGAAGUUGCUGGAGGCUGUUUGCAAAGGCAAGAAUACUACAUCAGGUGGUGGUGUAUACUUCCAUCCAGAGGCAAAUGAUAUCUUCUUGUCUCUCUGUAAUACACAAAACAAUUUUCAACCAGAAAUGUAGAUGAGUGAGGAUUCUGACGUACCUAGAAUAUUUGGAUGACUGCUGCUUGAAUGGAUGGCCUUGAGACACCUGAAGACCCUGAUGUGCCUUCUGAAUCAUACCACGAUUCAAUUACAUCCAUCAUUUAACAACAACAACAACUCUAGAAGGUAAACAUAAGAAAGGAAAACUUUUGUACGGUGAACUUGGGCUAAAAAGAAGAAUGAUGUCUCUGGAACUUUUGCUGCUUAUAGGAAUGAGAGCAAAAUCCUGGCAUGACCAUGAUCCUUCAAUGAGCACCACUGUGUUGCUGCAUUCUGUCUGGCCAAUCUAGUCUAUAAUAGUUUUUUGUUUUGUUUUGAUUUUUGUGUGUUUUU
Molecule: long non-coding RNA, 2111 nt
Organism: Homo sapiens (human)
Lineage: Eukaryota; Metazoa; Chordata; Mammalia; Primates; Hominidae
Exons: 5
Source: RefSeq, a predicted model, not a curated record